RNAcentral lists this unclassified non-coding RNA (254 nucleotides) under uncultured bacterium. RNAcentral's name for it is "contains 16S-23S intergenic spacer region". It matches the Rfam family "Bacterial small subunit ribosomal RNA", at positions 524 to 776 of the family's 1533-position model. The record is from RNAcentral.
GACGUAGGGGGCGAGCGUUAUCCGGAUUCACUGGGCGUAAAGGGCGCGCAGGCGGCUAUGUAAGUCCGGCGUGAAAUCCCACGGCUCAACUGUGGAACUGCGUCGGAUACUGCAUUGGCUUGAGGAUGGUAGAGGCCAUUAGAACUAGCGGUGUAGCGGUGAAAUGCGCAGAUAUCGCUAGGAAUGCCGGUGGCGAAGGCGGAUGGCUGGGCCACUCCUGACGCUGAGGCGCGAAAGCUAGGGGAGCGAACCGG